CAAAGCAAAUCUUCAAAAUAUUUUCUCUCACUUCUCCUUCACCCCAUUUUCGCCCAUCCCACUUUCUCCCUCAUCUCUCACUUUUCCUCCAUUUUCCUCCAUUAUAGAAAACCUUCGGAGCUUCCAAAGAUAUUACCAAACACCUCAAUCCACUCUAAAACCUUCCAUAAACACAUUCUAGCCACUUGUAAUCAAGAAAAUCCUUGAAGAAGAGCUUCAAAGUUAGAGUGAGAAAGUGUGAACUUUGGUAAGAAACUUGGGUCCGAGCGAGACGAAGAAGUAAGUCGCCUGAUUUCUUUCCAGGUUGAGCGAAGGACUUCAGGCUAAGCGAGGAGCGAGAUUGGUCUGGUGCUGGUGGGGAAAUUGUUUAUCUAAUGUAUCUACUUUAUCGCAUUUCCAUUUUGACGAUAAAGUCUUGAUGAUUGGAAUAUUUUAUUUUUCUUUUGAAAUCAAACAAUAUACUCUCGGUUAUGUGUCUUCAUACAUAUAAUCGAUUCGCCUUUUGCUGCGAUACUCUGCAUAUUAUGAUUCCUUAUGAAAAAUGAGCUAUACCCGUUUUGUUUU
This is a long non-coding RNA of Salvia miltiorrhiza (redroot sage), 564 nucleotides long. RefSeq lists it as uncharacterized. The record is from RefSeq and is a predicted model, not a curated record. The transcript is spliced from 3 exons. Lineage: Eukaryota; Viridiplantae; Streptophyta; Magnoliopsida; Lamiales; Lamiaceae.